GAGACGACGCUGGCGGCGUGCCUAACACAUGCAAGUCGAGCGGGGUUGAAGCGAGAGGUAACUCGAGCUUCUACCUAGCGGCGGACGGGUGAGUAACGCGUGGGCAACCUGCCUCAAGGUUUGGGAUAACAGCCCGAAAGGGCUGCUAAUACCGGAUAUGCCUAUGGCCUCGCAUGGGGCUAUGAGCAAAGGGGAAACCCGCCUUGAGAUGGGCCCGCGUCCCAUCAGCUAGUUGGUGAGGUAACAGCUCACCAAGGCGACGACGGGUAGCCGGCCUGAGAGGGUGACCGGCCACACUGGGACUGAGACACGGCCCAGACUCCUACGGGGGGCAGCAGUGGGGGAUCUUGCACAAUGGGCGAAAGCCUGAUGCAGCGACGCCGCGUGAGCGAAGAAGGCCUUCGGGUUGUAAAGCUCUGUCUGGAGGGACGAACAAAAUGACGGUACCUCCGGAGGAAGCCACGGCUAACUACGUG
RNAcentral lists this ribosomal RNA (476 nucleotides) under uncultured bacterium. RNAcentral's name for it is "bacterial SSU rRNA". It matches the Rfam family "Bacterial small subunit ribosomal RNA", at positions 33 to 507 of the family's 1533-position model. The record is from RNAcentral.